CACCCCCAGUCCAGCCACCACCUCAUCCCAGGGCUGAGCCACGGGAGCAGGAAAGGGCUGUACGGGAGCAGUGGGCAGAACGGGAACGGGAAAUGGAGCGGCGGGAGAGGACUCGGUCUGAGCGAGAAUGGGAUCGGGACAAAGUUCGAGAGGGGCCCCGCUCCCGAUCACGGUCCCGUGACCGCCGCCGCAAAGAGCGAGCAAAAUCUAAAGAAAAGAAGAGUGAGAAGAAAGGUACUUAGCUGGGAGGAGGGUCAGGGACCAGAUGGGUUGGCUCACAGGAUUUUAUGAUUCAGAUCUGGUUUAAUUCCUUCCACCUCAGAGAAAGCUCAGGAGGAGCCGCCUGCCAAGUUGCUGGAUGACCUCUUCCGUAAGACCAAGGCAGCUCCCUGCAUCUAUUGGCUCCCACUGACUGAGAGCCAGGUGAGUGCUCUUCAUGCUCAACAGUGGGUGGAGCUGCUCAUCACCCAGGAGACCAACAUGACUGACGGUGUAGGCCCUGGCAGGCUUAGGAAAGGAAGAGAUGAAGCAGGAGAGUGACUUAGGAGGUCGGGCACUGUAGAGAAAGUGAAAGUGGCGGCAAAGGCAGGAUGUGGAAUUUGAGAAGCUAUUACCCAAACUUCUUGGAACUUGAUUUGUUAGCUGAGAAAUGCAUGCUUUAUAAAAUCUUCUUUAUAAAUGCAU
Molecule: long non-coding RNA, 684 nt
Filed under: Rattus norvegicus (Norway rat)
Lineage: Eukaryota; Metazoa; Chordata; Mammalia; Rodentia; Muridae
Description: long non-coding RNA NONRATT010857
Source: RNAcentral